GACGAACGCUGGCGGCGUGCUUAACACAUGCAAGUCGAACGGAAAGGCCCUGCUUUUGUGGGGUGCUCGAGUGGCGAACGGGUGAGUAACACGUGAGUAACCUGCCCUUGACUUUGGGAUAACUUCAGGAAAAUGGGGCUAAUACCGGAUAGGAUAUCCUGCUGCAUGGGGGUGGUUGGAAAGUUUCGGCGGUUGGGGAUGGACUCGCGGGUUAUCAGCUUGUUUGUGGGGUAGGGGCUUACCAAGGCUUUGACGGGUAGGCGGCCUGGGAGGGUGACCGGCGACAUUGGGACUGAGGUACGGCCCAGACGCCUACGGGAGGCAGCAGGGGGGAAUAUUGCGCAAUGGGCCGAAGCCAGAUACAGCAACGCCGCGUGCGUGAUGACGGGCUUCGGGUUGUAAACCACUUUCGCAGGUAACAAAGCGGGAGUGACGGUAAUGGGUAAAGAAGCACCGGCUAACUACGUG
This 468-nucleotide ribosomal RNA is filed under the name uncultured bacterium. RNAcentral's name for it is "partial 16S ribosomal RNA". It matches the Rfam family "Bacterial small subunit ribosomal RNA", at positions 28 to 507 of the family's 1533-position model. The record is from RNAcentral.